UACAGAGGUGGCAAGCGUUGUUCGGAAUUACUGGGCGUAAAGGGCUCGUAGGUGGCCAACUAAGUCAGACGUGAAAUCCCUCAGCUUAACUGGGGAACUGCGUCUGAUACUGGAUGGCUUGAGUUUGGGAGAGGGAUGCGGAAUUCCAGGUGUAGCGGUGAAAUGCGUAGAUAUCAGGAGGAACACCGGUGGCGAAGGCGGGUCUCUGGGCCGAUACUGACGCUGAGGAGCGAAAGCGUGGGGAGCAAACAGG
RNAcentral lists this ribosomal RNA (253 nucleotides) under uncultured bacterium. RNAcentral's name for it is "partial 16S ribosomal RNA". It matches the Rfam family "Bacterial small subunit ribosomal RNA", at positions 524 to 776 of the family's 1533-position model. The record is from RNAcentral.